Salmo salar (Atlantic salmon) is the source of this 58-nucleotide non-coding RNA. NCBI's taxonomy places the organism in Eukaryota, Metazoa, Chordata, Actinopteri, Salmoniformes, Salmonidae. The record is from Rfam.
UGGCUCAGUUUGUAGAGCAUGGUGUUUGCAACGCCAGGGUUGUGGGUUCGAUUCCCAC